CUUGACCGAGCCCAGCCACAGCGGCCGGUCGCGCUCCGCCCCGUACGCGGCGAGCAGCGCGUCGGCCUC
RNAcentral lists this antisense RNA (69 nucleotides) under Streptomyces paromomycinus. RNAcentral's name for it is "ASpks TB sRNA". It matches the Rfam family "ASpks TB sRNA". The record is from RNAcentral. Lineage: Bacteria; Bacillati; Actinomycetota; Actinomycetes; Kitasatosporales; Streptomycetaceae.